Molecule: ribosomal RNA, 466 nt
Filed under: uncultured bacterium
Lineage: Bacteria
Description: bacterial SSU rRNA
Rfam family: Bacterial small subunit ribosomal RNA
Source: RNAcentral
UAGGGAAUAUUGGACAAUGGGUGAGAGCCUGAUCCAGCCAUGCCGCGUGCAGGAAGAAGGCGUUAUGCGUUGUAAACUGCUUUUGCCAGGGGAUAAAAAGACCGUACGCGGUUAAUUGAAGGUACCUGGUGAAUAAGCCACGGCUAACUACGUGCCAGCAGCCGCGGUAAUACGUAGGUGGCAAGCGUUGUCCGGAUUUAUUGGGUUUAAAGGGUGCGUAGGCGGCCCCGUAAGUCAGUGGUGAAAUACGGCAGCUCAACUGUCGAGGUGCCAUUGAUACUGCGGGGCUUGAGUAUGGACGAGGUAAGCGGAAUUGACGGUGUAGCGGUGAAAUGCUUAGAUAUCGUCAAGAACACCGAUAGCGAAGGCAGCUUACUAGGCCAUAACUGACGCUGAGGCACGAAGGUGCGGGGAUCAAACAGGAUUAGAUACCCAUGUAGUCCCUGAGCGGGCUGGCAAGGCGCAU